AGGGGCUAGAGCGGUAUCCAGGAGUUCCUGUCUCUAUGAGGUUCUUCCAGCUGGUACUCAGCAAGAUUGAGGGAAAAUCCAUUCAUUUCCAGACUUUUGAAGUUCCCUAAGCACUUGAGAAUGACACUGGAAAUUGGUGUCCUUGCUAUGUCAAAAUCCCCAACUGUUUGUUCUUGGUUUGGUGUUAUGUAACUGCAGGCUGAUGUAGUCUUAGAGGAAUCCCGUUAUAUAAUUCAGUCUGCCUCACUACGGCUCACUUUUCCUGUUGUAAACCUCCACAGGGCAGUGGGGAGGAGGGAUAUGGGACAGAGCUCUGUUCCCGGCGGGGCUGAGGGGUCUUCCCACCAUUCCAGUGGCUUUUCCUGGUAGCCGGGCCCAAGAAGACAUUCCCUCUGCCUCUGCUGCCAGGAUCGAAGCCUCCGGCUACGGACACUGCCUCUGGCCUCCUCUCCCAGCCAGGAGCCGCAAAGACGGUUCAGAAUUUUAGCUCUGUAGCAGCAAAGACGUGCCAAACCAGAGCGCUGGUUUUUAAUUGUUUUUCUAGAACAGCGGGGGUGUUGUUACAAGUGUUCAGCAAGAGAGGAUAAAGAAGCCAAAAGAAGUCAACGCAUCUUAAAAAUAGCUUGCAAUUUGGGAAUUGCAAGCCAAAGAUCCGGACGCGUCCGACGCGGCAGGGCGUUUUCGAACCACUCUUUGGCAGGUGGUCCACCCACUUAUCGCCUCCUCCCAUCCCCCUGUGUAGCCUGAUGGCCGAGGCCCUCCCUCGCCGGUCACUUCCCACCUGAGCUGCAAAGAUGCUGUAGCUGGAGUGCAUGCAGCCCCACUGGGACAGGGAGGCGAGCCCUGUAGCAGAAGAAAGUUCUAGGUGUUUCUUCUGCCAACUGUUGUUUGUACUCGGUCCUUUAAGGCUGUCCCUGUGAGUCACCCCGAAAUAGAGACAGUAGCGAGCACCCACCAAGGAGGCAGGCUGGAAUGCAAGAGCCGGAGGAUGGUAGCCAGGAGGUGGACCCGGGAGCCUCAGAGAGGGCCAAGGGACAGGCCGCCUACUCCAGCCUGCAUCAAGACCAGUGAGGGGGCAAGUCCGAAAGCCAGCUACAAAACCAGAUGAAGACGGGCGUUCCUGUCUCCACCCUGACCACUGGAAUUUUCAAACUCGUCUUCCGACUAUUGGACGCCCAGUGAGUCGUAAAAUGAACGUAUGACUCGUAAUCAUCCUCUGAAGUUGCUGGAAUUCUCUUUUUUUUUUUGGCUCGGCCUGCAACUUCUAAAACAGGCGGGACACAGGGGACAGGGCCUGACACUACCCCCAAGGUGGUCCCGGUACUCCUUGAGUGAGUUUAAAGUUUUAUACCACGGAUCGCCUUCUUUAUUUUCAUUUUUUAAACGGGAACCCUCGUUUAAAGCCCUCCCCACGCUUACAAGUCUCAUGACUGGGGACCCCGAACCUUUAAGAAACCAGGUCCCGGGUGAUACGGGAACCGCGGUCCUAGCCGGACCCCCCUCACCCCCAUACUAGGGACGCAAGAGACAGGGAAGGCGGCGUGUCCCAGCGGCCCGCGGGGUCUCGCCACCCAGGGCACCCACCUCGGCGGCAACGCCCCCGCGUUCCCGCGCCCCGGUCGCUCUCCAAUCGGCGAGCCGCUCGCAACCCCAAACGGUUCCGGCCCCGCGAGCGCCCGCUCGCCCCGGGGCCGGCGCAGACUCCGUGGAGGGAGAGGUCUUUGUGCCCAAGGCCGGCGGCGCAACUCAAAAUCUCCCGCGCUCGGCGUCGAGGGGGGGCGGGACCAGCCUCGACCAAUGGGAAGCGUCGAGAGGCGCCGGCCACGCCCCGUCCCGGGCGCUCGGCGCCGGCCACGCCCCCUCCCGAGCGCGCGCGGCGCCGGCCUUUUAAAGGGUGCUGGGGCUCGGCCGGCUCGCCUGCAACCCGGGUUCCAGCUGCCUCGCUUUCCUCUCGUCGCCUCAGCCGCUGCCCUCGCUCGCCAUGCUCUCCGUCCGCGUCCCGCUCGCCACCAUCACCGACCAGCAGCAGCUGAAGGUGUCGCCGCUGAAGCGGCUCAGCCUGGCCGAGAAGGAGAACACGCCCCCGGCCCUCAGCGCCACCCGCGUCCUGGCCAGCAAGGUUGCGCGGAGAAUCUUACAGGACUCGGCCCAACUGGAAAGUAAAGUCUCUGCUAACCCCAGCGUUGAGGAUGAGCCGUUACUGAGAGAGAACCCCCACCGCUUUGUCAUCUUUCCCAUCAAAUACCAUGAUAUCUGGCAGAUGUACAAGAAAGCGGAGGCCUCCUUUUGGACGGCUGAGGAGGUGGACCUUUCCAAGGAUAUCCGGCACUGGGAAGCUCUGAAACCCGACGAGAGACAUUUUAUAUCUCACGUUCUGGCUUUCUUCGCAGCGAGCGACGGCAUAGUCAAUGAGAACUUGGUGGAGCGAUUUAGCCAAGAAGUUCAAGUCACAGAGGCCCGCUGUUUCUAUGGCUUCCAAAUUGCCAUGGAAAACAUACAUUCUGAAAUGUACAGUCUCCUGAUUGACACCUACAUUAAAGAUCCCAAGGAGAGGGAGUAUCUCUUCAAUGCUAUCGAAACGAUGCCUUGUGUGAAGAAGAAGGCCGACUGGGCCUUGCGUUGGAUUGGGGACAAAGAGGCUACGUACGGAGAACGUGUUGUGGCCUUCGCCGCCGUGGAAGGCAUCUUCUUCUCCGGUUCUUUCGCAUCCAUAUUCUGGCUCAAGAAGCGGGGACUGAUGCCCGGCCUUACAUUUUCCAAUGAGCUUAUCAGCAGAGACGAGGGCUUACACUGUGACUUUGCCUGCCUGAUGUUCAAGCACCUGGUACACAAGCCAUCGGAACAGAGGGUAAAAGAAAUAAUUGUCAACGCCGUGAGGAUAGAGCAGGAGUUCCUCACGGAGGCCUUGCCUGUGAAGCUCAUCGGGAUGAACUGCACUCUGAUGAAGCAGUACAUCGAGUUCGUGGCCGACAGGCUGAUGCUGGAGCUGGGCUUUAACAAGUGGAAUUAAAGGCAUCUGCCACCGUGCCCGGCUGACGGUGACGUUUGAAAACUAGCUUGAGCACGAGAGUGGAGUCACCAGGGCUGCUUUCAAAGGGAGACGGAUGGUCUUUCUGUUUCUUGCUCUGCAGUGUUCAUCGUACUGGGUUGCAGAGGGACAAGCCAGAAGCCAAGGCCAACACUGAUGAGAUUGGCGAGCACUCUGGAGCCAGCCCUGGGGAAAACAGAGGUUCCAUCGAGGUGAUGUUGCCCCCUAGGACUUAGAGGUGUCUCUGGUCUGGAGGUGCUGUAUGUUCUUCUCAAGUGACAUGGUAUGCCCUGCAUGCCACUGUGGGGUCUGUGGAGGAUCAGAACUGUGGUUUCAUAACUCACACACACCGUCUGGUGUCUGAGAACCACUUCAUUAAAUGUCAUGUGGAUUCAAAAUAGAAUCAUAUCUCUGAGACAAAGCCCAUUGAGCCAGGAGCCAGCACAGGAUUGGAACAGGCAAUGUCUCACUGGAGCAGGGACUGCAAGCCGGAGGCUGCUGUCUGGGGACCAGCACACUCCAUUCUUUUCUCCGUUCACAUCUGUCUGGACUUCCUAGAUUUGGCAGGUGAUCUCAGAGCCUGGGGGUCUGCAGUGCGUUGGAGGCAGCCAGGGAUAAAGGAGGACAGGUCCUCUGUCAUACUCUCAGAUGAAACUGUGCAGCUCAGAGUGCUCCCCCUCCACAGCUGAGUGCUCCUCCCUUCCCUACUGCCCCAGCUGGAUCCUCAACUGCCUCCAGGGAGGUGCUCUGGGCCAGGAGCAUGGACCUGGGGCCACACUGUUAAUGAGAAGCAGAGGUGGUUUGAACAUGAGCUCGAGGCUCCAAGCCCAGCCCUUUCCUUAGCCCGAGCUGCCCCGUUCCUGAGCACCUUGCUUUCAGUACUAGAGAGUCGAACUGCAAGGGCAUGAGUGGAUUUGGUAGAAUGCUUGGGGGAGGGCUUUUGGUCCACCAUUUUUAAGGCUUCUUUGUAAUUCUAAUGUGUGUCAUGAAAUACGGAUGGAAAGAAUGGUCUUGUGUCUGCCGUCUGUCCCCAACCUUCUGUCUAUCUGGUCAACCAUUGUGGGAGAAGGGGUCUGCUAGCUCAGACUCUGCAGCCUAGAGUACUCCCCUACCACAACUGAGUGCUCCCUGUUCUGUCCCAGCUGAGUUCGCCUCCCUUCCCUACUGUCUCAGGUGAGUGCUCCUCCCUCCCCUCUGCCCCAGGUGAGUGCUCCUUCCUCCCCUCUGCCCCAGGUGAGUGCUCCUUCCUCCCCUCUGCCCCAGAUGAGUGCUCCUUCCUCCCCUCUGCCCCAGGUGAGUGCUCCUUCCUCCCCUCUGCCCCAGAUGAGUGCUCCUCCCUCUAUUGUCCCAGCUGAGUGCUCCUCCCUCCUCUAUUGUCCCAGCUGAGUGUUCCUCCCUCCUCUAUUGUCCCAGCUGAGUGCUCCUCCCUCCUCUAUUGUCCCAGCUGAGUGCUCCUCCCUCCUCUAUUGUCCCAGCUGAGUGCUCCUCCCUCCCCAACUGUCCCAGGUGAGUGCUCCUCCCUCCCCUCUGCCCCAGGUGAGUGCUCCUCCCUCCUCCACUGCCCCAGGUGAGUGCUCCUCCCUCCUCCACUGCCCCAGGUGAGUGCUCCUCCCUCCUCCACUGCCCCAGGUGAGUGCUCCUCCCUCCUCCACUGCCCCAGGUGAGUGCUCCUCCCUCCUCCACUGCCCCAGAUGAGUGCUCUUCCCCUCUGCCCCUGAUUGAUUUUUUUUUUCUUUUUGACUUCUUUUUCUUUUUUUGAGACAAGGUUUCUCUAUAUCGCCCUGAACAGCCAGAAACUCACUACAUAGACCAGGCUGGCCUCGAACUCACAGAGAUCCACCUGGCUCUGCCUCCUGAGUACUGGGAUUAAAGGUGUGCGCCACCAGGCCUAGGGGAUCCGGUGUUGCUAUUGCCCGUGUGUGUGUGCAUGUGUGUGUGUGUGUGUGUGUGUGUGUGUGUGUGUGUGUGUGCCCGUGCACACCUGUGCGUGUGUUUGUAGUAUGUGUGGUGCACGUGUGUGUGCGUGUGUGUGUGCGUGUGCGCGUGUGUGUGUGCGUGUGUGUGUGUCUAUGUGUUUGUAGUAUGUGUGGUGCACGUGUGUGUGCAGAGGAUGGAAGCCCACAGCUGACUCUGGAUGUGUUCUCUGAUCUCUCCCCACCUCACAUACUGAGGCCGGGUCCGUCCCAGCCUGGGGCGCACUCUUUGACCCAGUCUGCCUGGGCAGCUUGCCCUGGCGUCCUGUCUCUCCUGCUCACACGCUGGGAUUCUGUGGCCACUGUGCCCCCCUGGCUUUCCCAUGGGUUCUGGGGAUCUGAACUCGGGUCCUUGUGCUGUGAGGCAAGCGCUUUACCGGCUGAGCCGUCUCACUGGCGCCCCGUGCGCCUCACUCCCGGUCUGUCCUCACGUGAUUGAUUUCUCCCUUCAUGCCUCAGUUCAUCGGCCUGGGUUCGCUCUUUCGCUCUGCCUGCUCCCGAGCUCUAAUGUCCCCCUCACUGCUCCUGCUUUCUCGAUGACUGCUUUAUUCAUUUUUGUUGUUUAAUUGACAGCGAAAGGCUCAGUGGCAGUUCCCGUUGGGUCUGGUGACAUCCUCACUAGUACGCUGUCACCUACUCCAUGCCUUUCCUGUCCCUUUCUUCUUUCUAUUCUGUUGUCCUUCGGCAGCUUUCUGAAGGUUCCUACCCUUGCCUCUCCUCUCUUCUGCGUCUUUUACCUGUUGAUGGUGAGUGAGGGGGGGCUAGGAUCUACCGAGACCAGGGCACUCAUUGUGUCAGGGCUGUUGGAAACAGAGGCUCCCCCUCCUCCUCUUCCUCCUCCUCUCCCUUCUCUUCCUAUCCGUCCUCCUGCUCCCCAUCUCUCCUCCUGCUCCUCCUGCUCCUCUCUUCUGCUUCCCGGAUCCUCCUGCUCCCCAUCUCCUCUCCCUCCUCCUGCUCCCCAUCUCCUCCUCCUGCCCCCACCCUGCCCUGUGAUCUUUGCUGGGGCAGAUAUGGUUUAUCGGGGAGUCUUCACUCUCUUGGCUUUCCUGCUUUAUCCAGGCUGCCAAUGCUGCUGUUCCAAGCUCCUGUGCUCCACCCCGAUGCUGACGGGAUGCUGGUGAGCAGCUGGGCUCCGUGGUCGUCACUUCCUCACGGCUCUGCUCUCUGUUGUCUGGCUUGGCAGCAGUCUUUGGGCUUAUUCUUGGAGUUUCCACCUCUCUUUUGUGUUCCUUGGAGGAGUUUGUAUCAGAGACAGAGUUUAUAUUCUGUUUGGCUUUCUCCCUCUUCCUUUGGGAUGCUUUUCUUUCUUCUUUUCCUGGCUUAUCGAGAUAUAAUUGGCACACAGCACAUGGUGCCUAUUUAGUGCGGUAUCAGUUUAAUAUUGUAUCAUUUUGUUACGACGGUGAACCACCAGAGGCAGGCCAACUUUAAGAAGAAAAGUUCACUUAGCUCAGUGUUCAGCGUGGCCCAGCUUCUGACACGGGAGCCAACAAGAACAACCGAUCACAUUGAAGAACAGGAAGGCUGAGAAGCUGGGGUGCCCACAUUUCUCUCCACUGACCUAAGCCGCCCCCCUGCCCCGCCUCAGAUGGCAGUCCUUUGAGGACCUAGCUCUCAUUACACAAACCUCAGGGAAUGAACCCCAGCCCAGCGGUAGUAAGUCUGUAGUACUUAAUAAGUUGCUUUGUUUUGCAGUAGUGAAUACUGAAACUGGGACCUUCUAUGAGCUGGGUAAGCACCCUACCACUAGCUAGAUCCUUACUCUCCUAUUGAGAAGUUUGCCGGAAAUGUCUACUACAAGGCCGUCACAACUGAGCCAAUAGCAUCCCUAUCCCAUAGUUUCCCCCAAAGAUCACAAAGG
Peromyscus californicus insignis is the source of this 6862-nucleotide RNA transcript. It is a transcript of the gene named ribonucleotide reductase regulatory subunit M2, with no coding region annotated. The transcript has 13 exons. Lineage: Eukaryota; Metazoa; Chordata; Mammalia; Rodentia; Cricetidae. The record is from RefSeq and is a predicted model, not a curated record.